Molecule: non-coding RNA, 775 nt
Organism: Chelonoidis abingdonii (Abingdon island giant tortoise)
Lineage: Eukaryota; Metazoa; Chordata; Testudines; Testudinidae
Source: RefSeq, a predicted model, not a curated record
UAUGGCUUUUUUUUUCUCCAAAGGGUUUUUCAGGAAGCACAAGUCCGUGCAGCACCAGAGAAAAUAAAACCACCUCUUCCCCACAAACAACCCACCAUUGCCUUUCACACCAACACAUGUAUAGACCUCAAUAUAUCCCGAAAACACAAGACACCACUCUGCCCUAUAUUAUAUAUAUAUUUGGUAUUCUGGUCUUUUGUUAAAGUGGGUCAUCUUAAUUCUGGCUGACAAGAUCUCAGACUUAGCUUUAUAUGUUCUAACAGUACUGUCUAUGUCUAAUUUUAGAUUGUAAGCUCCUUGGGGCAGGGACCGUGUCUUCCUCCAUGUUUGUACUCUGCCAAGUACACUAUCGGCACUCAGUAAAUAACCACAGUUGUGCAACAAAACUGUAUUAGGAGGUAAAGAACUUCAGCACUGAAAACUCCAAAGAAGAUCCCUGUGUACAAGCUUUGUGUUGCUUUUUUCUGAACUGGCCUUUAAAAUGAAUGUGAUUUCCACUGUACGGUAGUUUAAAUAAACACAUUUUAGGUCAGGUCUUCUGUUUGUCCACAGAGGUGUUAAUUUAACCAUAGUACAUGUCACAGUUACAGGGCAAACUGCAUUUUAGUUCCCUUUUAGUCCCUCUUGCGUGACAGGUGUGGCUUCGUACACUUCACCCUGCCCCACUGUUUCCCCAACUGUGCUAAUGCAACAGGCCAACUGCAUUUAGCACCUGUCAGCUCUUUCGCUAUGGGCACCUGUGACCAGAUUGUUGAUUAAAAUGACUCAGACAGUG